UACGGAAGGCAGCAGUGGGGAAUAUUGCACAAUGGGCGCAAGCCUGAUGCAGCCAUGCCGCGUGUAUGAAAAAGGCCUUCGGGUUGUAAAGUACUUUCAGUCGUGAGGAAGGUGUUAAGGUUAAUAACCUUAGCAAUUGACGUUAGCGACAGAAGAAGCACCGGCUAACUCCGUGCCAGCAGCCGCGGUAAUACGGAGGGUGCGAGCGUUAAUCGGAAUUACUGGGCGUAAAGGGCACGCAGGCGGUUAAUUAAGUUGGAUGUGAAAUCCCCGGGCUUAACCUGGGAAUGGCAUUCAAGACUGGUUAGCUAGAGUCUUGUAGAGGGGGUAGAAUUCCAUGUGUAGCGGUGAAAUGCGUAGAGAUGUGGAGGAAUACCGGUGGCGAAGGCGGCCCCUGGACAAAGACUGACGCUCAUGUGCGAAAGCGUGGGGAGCAAACGAGGGAUUUAGAUACCCG
This 457-nucleotide ribosomal RNA is filed under the name uncultured bacterium. RNAcentral's name for it is "bacterial SSU rRNA". It matches the Rfam family "Bacterial small subunit ribosomal RNA", at positions 340 to 789 of the family's 1533-position model. The record is from RNAcentral.